This 74-nucleotide transfer RNA is filed under the name Aseraggodes kaianus (Kai sole). RNAcentral's name for it is "tRNA-Thr". It matches the Rfam family "tRNA". Rfam says of the family: Transfer RNA (tRNA) molecules are approximately 80 nucleotides in length. Their secondary structure includes four short double-helical elements and three loops (D, anti-codon, and T loops). Lineage: Eukaryota; Metazoa; Chordata; Actinopteri; Pleuronectiformes; Soleidae. The record is from RNAcentral.
GCAGUGGUAGCUCAGUGCUUUAGAGCAUCGGUCUUGUAAACCGAACGCCGGAGGUUAAAAUCCCCCCCACUGCU